Molecule: long non-coding RNA, 657 nt
Filed under: Oryza sativa (Asian cultivated rice)
Lineage: Eukaryota; Viridiplantae; Streptophyta; Magnoliopsida; Poales; Poaceae
Description: long non-coding RNA (OSAT_LNC001155)
Source: RNAcentral
AGAUUUUGGCUGUGACUACCCUAAUUACUAACCUUUUUUUUUAUCUCACACAUGGUACACAUGGUUUUCAGUCUUGGUUGCAGCAGAUUAAUGCAUUCUUUUGCAUAAACCUAGCCAAUUAUUGACACCAAGAAAGGUUCUUCUGGAUGAGAUGAGAUUUUUUUUAGUACGGAUGAUAAUCACUAAGAAAGAAAUAUAUAUAAGUGAGGGGAGUUAAAUUAAUACCUCUGGUAAGUAUGGUAACAUCAAUCCUAUGCAGUGCAGCAUCUGAAGAGGAGCCCCAGGGCUCAGUCUGGAUGCUAAUAUAUUGAAUCAAAGGAGCAAUGUUUAAAUCAUUGUGCAUUAAUUCUGCAGAAGCAGAACUGAGGUACUAUAUAAACUUGAACAGGUACUUGUUCAGAACAGGAAGCAUGACAUCAAUAUACAAACUGCAAAUUUGUUGUUCACAUGAAGAGAUGAGAAUCUAACCAGUAGCAUGACAUCUAAAUAAGCUGCACAUUGGCUAUUCAGAUGAAGAGACGAGAAUCAAACCAUUUUUCAUUUUGCAUUUUGGGCUAACAACAAUAAUUCUGCCGCUAUAAACUGGAUCAGGCAUAACAACAAUUCCGUAGGAAUAAACAGAGGAAAUAAUGGCAGUUCCACAACAAUGAACUGAAG